Molecule: ribosomal RNA, 901 nt
Filed under: uncultured bacterium
Lineage: Bacteria
Description: bacterial SSU rRNA
Rfam family: Bacterial small subunit ribosomal RNA
Source: RNAcentral
AGAGUUUGAUCCUGGCCCAGGAUAAACGCUGGCGGCGCACAUAAGACAUGCAAGUCGAACGGACUUAACCAUUAGUUUACUAUUGGAGCGGUUAGUGGCGGACUGGUGAGUAACACGUAAGCAACCUGCCUAUCAGAGGGGAACAACAGUUAGAAAUGACUGCUAAUACCGCAUAUGCCAAGAGUAUCGCAUGAUACAACUGGGAAAGGGGAAAUCCGCUGAUAGAUGGGCUUGCGUCUGAUUAGAUAGUUGGUGUGGUAACGGCAUACCAAGUCGACGAUCAGUAGCCGGACUGAGAGGUUGAACGGCCACAUUGGGACUGAGAUACGGCCCAGACUCCUACGGGAGGCAGCAGUCGGGAAUAUUGCGCAAUGGAGGAAACUCUGACGCAGUGACGCCGCGUGCAGGAAGAAGGUUUUCGGAUUGUAAACUGCUUUAGACAGGGAAGAAAAAAGACAGUACCUGUAGAAUAAGCUCCGGCUAACUACGUGCCAGCAGCCGCGGUAAUACGUAGGGAGCAAGCGUUAUCCGGAUUUAUUGGGUGUAAAGGGAGCGCAGGCGGUUCCUUAAGUCUGAUGUGAAAGCCCACGGCUCAACCGUGGAAGGUCAUUGGAAACUGGGGAACUUGAAUGCAGAAGAGGAGAGUGGAAUUCCAUGUGUAGCGGUGAAAUGCGUAGAUAUAUGGAGGAACACCAGUGGCGAAGGCGACUCUCUGGUCUGUAAUUGACGCUGAGGCUCGAAAGCGUGGGGAGCAAACAGGAUUAGAUACCCUGGUAGUCCACGCCGUAAACGAUGAGUGCUAAGUGUUGGAGGGUUUCCACCCUUCAGUGCUGCAGUUAACGCAUUAAGCACUCCGCCUGGGGAGUACGGCCGCAAGGCUGAAACUCAAAGGAAUUGACGG